This 399-nucleotide long non-coding RNA is filed under the name Malus domestica (apple). RNAcentral's name for it is "long non-coding RNA (MDOM_LNC000395)". Lineage: Eukaryota; Viridiplantae; Streptophyta; Magnoliopsida; Rosales; Rosaceae. The record is from RNAcentral.
AUUUAUGUCACAAACCACUUGCAAAGCUUUAUGAAUUUGUUGAAAAAUUUUCAAAAUUUUUGUGGACUAACACUCCAAAACCGGCCACCCUAUUAUUAGGGUUCUUUUGGGUCUUUUAUGCAAUUACAUAAAGUUUUGAUACUUUUGUGUAUUUGCACUUUGGCCCAAAAGUUUACGUUUUUACGUUUAGGUCCAAAAGCGCUAAAGGACAAAUUGUUUUGCUCCUUUAAUGAAGUUUUUGCAUUGAUUAAAUUUUGGGUUCUAGUUGUAAUUACAUGAAGUAGUGGACUUUUGUGUCUUUACAAAGUGACCCCAAAAGUUUUGCAAUAUAGCCCAAAAGUUGAGGUUAAUUGCUUUAUGGCCCAAAAAGUUGUGGUUAUUGCAUAUUGGCCCAAAUUA